RNAcentral lists this ribosomal RNA (497 nucleotides) under uncultured bacterium. RNAcentral describes it as "partial 16S ribosomal RNA". It matches the Rfam family "Bacterial small subunit ribosomal RNA", at positions 28 to 507 of the family's 1533-position model. The record is from RNAcentral.
GAUGAACGCUGGCGGCGUGCCUAAUACAUGCAAGUCGAGCGAACAGACGAGGAGCUUGCUCCUCUGACGUUAGCGGCGGACGGGUGAGUAACACGUGGAUAACCUACCUAUAAGACUGGGAUAACUUCGGGAAACCGGAGCUAAUACCGGAUAAUAUAUUGAACCGCAUGGUUCAAUAGCGAAAGACGGUUUUGCUGUCACUUAUAGAUGGAUCCGCGCCGCAUUAGCUAGUUGGUAAGGUAACGGCUUACCAAGGCAACGAUGCGUAGCCGACCUGAGAGGGUGAUCAGCCACACUGGAACUGAGACACGGUCCAGACUCCUACGGGAGGCAGCAGUAGGGAAUCUUCCGCAAUGGGCGAAAGCCUGACGGAGCAACGCCGCGUGAGUGAUGAAGGUCUUCGGAUCGUAAAACUCUGUUAUUAGGGAAGAACAAAUGUGUAAGUAACUAUGCACGUCUUGACGGUACCUAAUCAGAAAGCCACGGCUAACUACGUG